GGAUCAGUGGCGAACGGGUGAGUAACACGUGAGCAACCUGCCCCUGACUCUGGGAUAAGCGCUGGAAACGGCGUCUAAUACUGGAUAUGAGCUGCGACCGCAUGGUCAGCAGUUGGAAAGAUUUUUCGGUCUGGGAUGGGCUCACGGCCUAUCAGCUUGUUGGUGAGGUAAUGGCUCACCAAGGCGUCGACGGGUAGCCGGCCUGAGAGGGUGACCGGCCACACUGGGACUGAGACACGGCCCAGACUCCUACGGGAGGCAGCAGUGGGGAAUAUUGCACAAUGGGCGAAAGCCUGAUGCAGCAACGCCGCGUGAGGGAUGACGGCCUUCGGGUUGUAAACCUCUUUUAGCAGGGAAGAAGCGAAAGUGACGGUACCUGCAGAAAAAGCGCCGGCUAACUACGUGCCAGCAGCCGCGGUAAUACGUAGGGCGCAAGCGUUAUCCGGAAUUAUUGGGCGUAAAGAGCUCGUAGGCGGUUUGUCGCGUCUGCUGUGAAAUCCCGAGGCUCAACCUCGGGUCUGCAGUGGGUACGGGCAGACUAGAGUGCGGUAGGGGAGAUUGGAAUUCCUGGUGUAGCGGUGGAAUGCGCAGAUAUCAGGAGGAACACCGAUGGCGAAGGCAGAUCUCUGGGCCGUUACUGACGCUGAGGA
RNAcentral lists this ribosomal RNA (650 nucleotides) under Microbacterium oleivorans. RNAcentral describes it as "bacterial SSU rRNA". It matches the Rfam family "Bacterial small subunit ribosomal RNA", at positions 89 to 752 of the family's 1533-position model. The record is from RNAcentral. Lineage: Bacteria; Bacillati; Actinomycetota; Actinomycetes; Micrococcales; Microbacteriaceae.